CCUACGGGCGGCAGCAGUGAGGAAUAUUGGUCAAUGGUCGGGAGACUGAACCAGCCAAGCAGCGUGAGGGAUGACUGUACAGUGUAUCGUAAACUUCUUUUAUAUGGGAAUAAAGUGCAGUAUGUGUACUGCGUUGCAUGUACCUUAUGAAUAAGGAUCGGCUAACUCCGUGCCAGCAGCCGCGGUAAUACGGAGGAUCCGAGCGUUAUCCGGAUUUAUUGGGUUUAAAGGGAGCGUAGGCGGGUUGUUAAGUCAGUGGUGAAAGUAUGGGGCUCAACCGUAGAAUUGCAGUUGAUACUGGCAGCCUUGAGUACAGUAGAGGUAGGCGGAAUUCGUGGUGUAGCGGUGAAAUGCUUAGAUAUCACGAAGAACUCCGAUUGCGAAGGCAGCCUGCUGGACUGUCACUGACGCUGAUGCUCGAAAGUGUGGGUAUCAAACAGGAUUAGAUACCCCUGUAGUC
RNAcentral lists this ribosomal RNA (460 nucleotides) under uncultured bacterium. RNAcentral describes it as "partial 16S ribosomal RNA". It matches the Rfam family "Bacterial small subunit ribosomal RNA", at positions 338 to 795 of the family's 1533-position model. The record is from RNAcentral.